GGAGCUGAAUAUGACUGAAUAGGCUGAGUGGGGUAGUAGAAAGAACAAGAACAGGGUGAUCGGGUUUGGCAUCACUGCGUUCAUUCAGUUCUACCCUAGGUAGUUCCUGGACUAAUCUCUAGAAAAACAUGACCUUGAACAAGCCCCUUAACCUUCAUGUACUCAGUUUCUCUACUGAACAAUGUAGAGGAUAUUCUGCAUUUGGGGACAUGAAGGUCCCAUGCAAUAGUGUUGAUGUAUGUGUUUGAAGAUCUGCAUACUAAGAAGUAAGAACACUCAUAAAAUAUGGAUAAAGGAAGCUUCAGGGGAUUCUUCCUCAAAGUACUAAAGGCAGUUGGCAAGAUCCUGACUGUGCUGUCAGGAUAAUGCAUGCUGAGAGGUCUCUGGAAAUGACUGAGGAAAAUCCGACGUCCAGCCUGCAGCUCAGUGAACUUGGAGUUCUGAGAGCUGUUUAGAAAUGUUCAGAUCCAGUCUAAAGUCAUACGCUAUUUUUAAGGUUAGCAUUGAGGAAGGUUUGGUGGCAAGGAAAAUAAGUGGCAAUCCAGUUUAAAGGUUAGGUAGUCAGGGCAGCAAAAAGAAGGUUUUAGAGUAAAACAUAAAUGCAAUGUAAUCUGGGCAGAGGGGUUAGGAAGAAGAAGAUAAUGGAUAUUCCUCCUGAGACAAGGAUGUCUAUACUCCUAGGAGUCAACUGGGACUUACCAUGUCCUUGACACUCCUUCCACCUGUCUGAGGAAGGCACAGGUGCCCUUUCUCACUCAAUACAGGCUUAUUCUUAGAAUUUAGGGAUCUGUAUCCCAGGUGCUGAGAUAUGACGGUAAACAUGUGAAAACUAAGUCCUGGGAGUGCCUCCAACUCCCUUGCCAUGUGAGCAUCUGUUUGCAGAGCUGGUCUACCCAUCCAGAUUCACCCAGGAGUCUGUGUUCCUAAAGGAACUCACUGUGCCACUUGGUGGCACCAAAAAGUUGCGCAAAGAACUCUUCUCUAUAAAUACAAACUACCACCCCUCCCUCCUCCGCUCUCUCCCCUUCCCCCCUUCCCCCCUUUCUCAGUAGCGGGGAGAUUGCUGCACACGCCGCCCUCAGCUCGGCUGUUCUGCGCACGCUGAGCGGAGGGGAUGAGCUUGAGAUCAUCUUGGGGGGGAAGCCGGGGACUGGAGAGGCCGGCUCUGCCCCGCUGAUCCCUGUGGCCCAACUUUUCGGGGGGCUAGCUAGACCGAGUCUCACUGCUCGCUGCGCAGCCAACAGGGGGGUUUAGAAGAUCGUGACCACAUGGAUCAUCUAACUGAAUGGUACAUGGGGACACAAUGGUCCUAUAGAGAAUAUAUGUGAAUUGUUGGCUAAUUUCUUGAUUUGCGACUCAACAUAGGACAUCGCUUGUUCAUAUCUAUCAGAACACUCCUGAAUUUUCCCCACCAUGCUAUCUUUAUUA
Molecule: long non-coding RNA, 1428 nt
Filed under: Papio anubis (olive baboon)
Lineage: Eukaryota; Metazoa; Chordata; Mammalia; Primates; Cercopithecidae
Description: lncRNA (ENSPANG00000044039.1)
Source: RNAcentral